Molecule: ribosomal RNA, 396 nt
Filed under: uncultured bacterium
Lineage: Bacteria
Description: partial 16S ribosomal RNA
Rfam family: Bacterial small subunit ribosomal RNA
Source: RNAcentral
AUACGUAGGGGGCGAGCGUUGUCCGGAAUGAUUGGGCGUAAAGGGCGCGUAGGCGGCCCGGUAAGUCUGGAGUGAAAGUCCUGUUUUUAAGAUGGGAAUUGCUUUGGAUACUGUCGGGCUUGAGUGCAGGAGAGGUAAGUGGAAUUCCCAGUGUAGCGGUGAAAUGCGUAGAGAUUGGGAGGAACACCAGUGGCGAAGGCGACUUACUGGACUGUAACUGACGCUGAGGCGCGAAAGUGUUGGGAGCAAACAGGAUUAGAUACCCUGGUAGUCCACACUGUAAACGAUGAAUACUAGGUGUGGGGGGACUGCCCCCCUCCGUGCCGCAGUUAACACAAUAAGUAUUCCCCCUGGGGAGUACGAUCGCAAGAUUGAGACUCAAAUGAAUUGACGGAG